Molecule: ribosomal RNA, 821 nt
Filed under: Calonectria kyotensis
Lineage: Eukaryota; Fungi; Ascomycota; Sordariomycetes; Hypocreales; Nectriaceae
Description: eukaryotic LSU rRNA
Rfam family: Eukaryotic large subunit ribosomal RNA
Source: RNAcentral
GGCGAGUGAAGCGGCAACAGCUCAAAUUUGAAAUCUGGCCCUCGGGUCCGAGUUGUAAUUUGUAGAGGAUGCUUUUGGUGAGGUACCUUCCGAGUUCCCUGGAACGGGACGCCAUAGAGGGUGAGAGCCCCGUCUGGUUGGAUACCGAUCCUCUGUAAAGCUCCUUCGACGAGUCGAGUAGUUUGGGAAUGCUGCUCUAAAUGGGAGGUAUAUGUCUUCUAAAGCUAAAUACCGGCCAGAGACCGAUAGCGCACAAGUAGAGUGAUCGAAAGAUGAAAAGCACUUUGAAAAGAGAGUUAAAAAGUACGUGAAAUUGUUGAAAGGGAAGCGCUUAUGACCAGACUUGGGCUUGGUUGAUCAUCCUGGGUUCUCCCUGGUGCACUCUUCCAGUUCAGGCCAGCAUCAGUUCGCUGCGGGGGAUAAAAGCUUUAGGAAUGUGGCUCCCUCGGGAGUGUUAUAGACUAUUGCAUAAUACCCUGCUCCGGACUGAGGUUCGCGCAUCUGCAAGGAUGCUGGCGUAAUGGUCAUCAGCGACCCGUCUUGAAACACGGACCAAGGAGUCGUCUUCGUAUGCGAGUGUUCGGGUGUUAAACCCCUACGCGUAAUGAAAGUGAACGCAGGUGAGAGCUUCGGCGCAUCAUCGACCGAUCCUGAUGUUCUCGGAUGGAUUUGAGUAAGAGCAUACGGGGCCGGACCCGAAAGAAGGUGAACUAUGCCUGUAUAGGGUGAAGCCAGAGGAAACUCUGGUGGAGGCUCGCAGCGGUUCUGACGUGCAAAUCGAUCGUCAAAUAUGGGCAUGGGGGCGAAAGACUAAUCGAACC